AUUAUCCUCUGGUUGGCAAUUAUGCAAAGACUCACGACUAGAGACAAACUUGUCAAACUUGGACUCACAAAUAAUGCUAAAUGCAUGUUAUGUAAUCAUUAUGAUGAGGAUAUAAACCACAUUUUCUUCGGAUGUGAAUACAACAACUAUAUCUAGAAGACCAUUUUGAGGAAAAGUUUCUUGAGUUACAAUGGGCAAAACUAGAACUCCUUUAUUGAUGAAAUUUCUUUGGAUUGGAAGGAAGUCAGUUAAAAUUCUUGAUGGGCAAGUUAAGCCUGGGCCUACUAUUUAUGCCAUUUGGAAGGAAAGAAACAACAGGAUUUUCUCUAAUCUUCUGCAGCCCAAAGAUAGAAUUGUGGAAAGGCUCAAAAGACUGGUUCCCUCUUUUUGAUCUUUAGUUGAGUCCUAUUAUGUAGGCUUUGGUGCUGGUUGCAGUGGCCAAUAUUGAUAGCUUUUCCCCUCUCCAUUGCCUCAACUCUGCUGCUGGGAUUUUCUCUUCUGCUCUUUCCUGGUGGCUUUCGAAAGCUGCCUUUUCGCUACUGUAUUCUGGAGCUUGAAUCUCCUGUUUCCUGGUGCUUGUGUUUGCUUCUAAAUUCUGAUCAGAAGCUUUUGCAUCAGUUUUCUCUGCUUCCCCUGUUUUUGCCGUUCAUUCCCCUGCUCCUUCUGCUGUUGUUCUCCUGGCCUCCCUUUUCCCCAGCUGUGGCUUGGUUUGGUGCCCUCAAAAAUUUCUCCUGGUCUGCUGCUUGGUUUCCUUGCAGUUGACGCAUGCUUCUGGUGCUCAUGGACCUUCAGUCUUUGCUGGUCUGGUUGGCUUGAAUUCUUCCUGCAGGCUUUUCCUUCAGUCUAUGAGGAUCUUUGGAUACUGGUUUGUUGUAUGAUCAAGCAAGCUGAGUUUUGUCUCUCGUAGAGCGUCAGAAUUCAUUGAGUUUGGAUUGUCAAUUGAUUCGGCCGGUGCUUUUGUCAUUUCCUUAUUUUGCUUUUGUCCAUUACGUCUGCUUCCCAGUGUUGGCACCCGCAUUUCCUCCUGAUGUGCUUUGUAGUGUUCAUUGCUGUGCUGGUUGUUCUCAGUUGUUCGCCUGGAGUGCUACAUUCGAGUUUGGAGCCAGUAGUCCGCUCUCUGCUGCUAUACUGUUUCUUUUGCAGGCUGAUGCUGGUUUCUUGUCUGGUGCUGCUGGAGUGCGGAUAUGCAUCUGAGCUCUCUGCCUCCUUGGUUGCCGCUGUGGUAUGGAUUUCUUUCCAGGUGUUAUGCAUUUCCCUGCUGCCUGAGGAUCUGCCUUGGCAUCUCUUUUGCUUGUUUCUGUGGCAGCUAUUUAUUUGUUGUCUUAGUUAGUGGAAGCUGUCCAAGUCAUUCGGCCUCAGCCUCAAUUUUCCAACAGCGUGGCUCCUGGGCCUUGGAUUAAUUUGUUGAGUUGAUGGGCUCCGUGAGUUUCUUUGGGAUGCAACGUUUCUAUAGCCUUGGUGCAUGUUUGUUUGAAUGCUAUAAUGUGUAGUAAUUCCUUGGCAUAUGUUUCAUCUUCUCUUUGAGUCUUGAUUGGACUCUUCCUUGUUGGCUGGGCUUUUAUUAUGUUUUGGCAGUGUAUUAUUGGCUAUCCUCCUUGGGGAUGAGUUCAGGACGUAUUGGGACUGUUUUUGGAAGAAUUUGUAACAUAAAAUAUUUAACCAUAAAAAAAAGGUAAAAUUUCGAGUCAA
Long non-coding RNA from Mangifera indica (mango), 1689 nucleotides. RefSeq lists it as uncharacterized. The transcript is spliced from 2 exons. Lineage: Eukaryota; Viridiplantae; Streptophyta; Magnoliopsida; Sapindales; Anacardiaceae. The record is from RefSeq and is a predicted model, not a curated record.